AAUCAGCGCUGGCGGCGUGCCUCAGACAUGCAAGUCGAACGAUUAAAGCUCUCUUCGGAGAGUGUAUAGAGUGGCGCACGGGUGAGUAACACGUAAGUAAUCUACCCUCGAGUGGGGAAUAACGUCCGGAACGGACGCUAAUACCGCAUAAUGCAGCGGCACCGCAAGGUGACAGUUGUUAAAGAUUUAUCGCUUGAGGAGGAGCUUGCGGCAGAUUAGCUAGUUGGUAAGGUAAUGGCUUACCAAGGCUACGAUCUGUAACCGGUCUAAGAGGACGGUCGGUCACACUGACACUGAAUAACGGGUCAGACUCCUACGGGAGGCAGCAGUC
Molecule: ribosomal RNA, 331 nt
Filed under: uncultured bacterium
Lineage: Bacteria
Description: bacterial SSU rRNA
Rfam family: Bacterial small subunit ribosomal RNA
Source: RNAcentral